Molecule: long non-coding RNA, 211 nt
Filed under: Musa acuminata (dwarf banana)
Lineage: Eukaryota; Viridiplantae; Streptophyta; Magnoliopsida; Zingiberales; Musaceae
Description: long non-coding RNA (MACU_LNC011860)
Source: RNAcentral
UGCUGCAGAAAAUUUUAGCCGCAUAUUGUUGCCUUAACCCAUCUAUUUGUAAUCUUUUUUGAAUGAAAUUUCUUAUACACUUCAUAGAUCAUCUUGGCUUCCAUCUAAGAUUGAUCUAUUAUGAAAUUCAUCUCUAAAAAUGAUUUUAUGUUGCUGCAAAUUUUCAUCGUAACCUGCUGAAAUUUUUCGACGAGAAUUCUACAAUCGCAAC